GAGUUUUAUAAUUGAUUUUAUUAAAUAAAUUUAUAAAUAUAAUAUAUAAAAUGAAAUUAAUUAUUAUAUUGGGGUGAUAGAAAAAUUUAAUAAACUUUUUUUAAAAAAUUAACAUUAAUAAAUGAAUUUAUGAUCCAUAUUUAAUGAUUAUAAGAAAAAAUUACCUUAGGGAUAACAGCGUGAUAUUUUUUUUUAGAACAAAUAAAAAAAAAAGAUUGC
This 219-nucleotide ribosomal RNA is filed under the name Megeuptychia antonoe. RNAcentral's name for it is "partial large subunit ribosomal RNA". Lineage: Eukaryota; Metazoa; Arthropoda; Insecta; Lepidoptera; Nymphalidae. The record is from RNAcentral.